RNAcentral lists this long non-coding RNA (393 nucleotides) under Homo sapiens (human). RNAcentral's name for it is "HSALNT0127816". The record is from RNAcentral. Lineage: Eukaryota; Metazoa; Chordata; Mammalia; Primates; Hominidae.
CUUCUCCCAGGGUCCCAGGCAUGCUGCUAAACAUGUGGCUCAGAAAGGAGCCCACGCUGGUGUCUGGGAGGCAGUAGGACCGCAAAGAAAUUCAUACACAACACACUUGACCUGUAAAAUUGCCAUUUCCAUUUAAAGUGAGCUCUACACCCAGCUAGAUGAGCAGCUGGUCUAAGUUGUCACCAUUUUUUAACUCUUGUGCCCACUUGCCACCAAUCUGUCAUUCCUGUUUGACGACACCAGUCAUCUGCAUGGCAGCUGGCAGAUGCUAAAGACUAGCAGGAAGACCUCAGGACUGUGGGCCACCUGUCAGGGGAGUGAGGGGGCUGUCAGCUGACACUUCUCCCCCUUAUCUAACAGUGCUGGGGCCAAGGACUGGAAUGCAGGUUUGAC